Molecule: long non-coding RNA, 450 nt
Filed under: Fukomys damarensis (Damara mole-rat)
Lineage: Eukaryota; Metazoa; Chordata; Mammalia; Rodentia; Bathyergidae
Description: lncRNA (ENSFDAG00000023897.1)
Source: RNAcentral
GUUCUCUAGCUUUUUGGGAGAAAAUAAGAUGAGAAGACAGAAAGUGGUUUGGGGGUCACUAAAUGCCAUUUCAAUAAUUUGGAGAAUGCUUGAGAGCUUUUAUUGGAUUGAUGAUCAUGUUUGUAGCUAAGUAUUCACCCUCUGCAGCCCCGAUCGUGAAAGCGAUGAGGAUGAAGAGCCCUACGAGGAGACAUUUGUCUAAAGGUGAUAGGAGGGAAACGUGAAAAUAUGUCUAAAGUUACCAAGACAUGAAGGCUCACUCCAUUUGGGGGCAAAAAAUAGAGGUCCCCAACCAACCAGAUAAUAAUCUGUCAUUACUCAAGAAAACGCACAUUACGUAUAUGAAGCUGUUUUUCCUUUCACACCAAAUGCAUGGUCUCUCCAAAUGAUGUCCACUGAGGAAAAAUUGCACCUACUCUAUUUUAAAGUCAUUGGUAAUAAACAUGGCAG